CGGGCAGUAGCUGAGUGGUAGAGCUCCCACUUCUUAUGCGGGAAGACCUGAGUUAGGUUCUCGGUUGCUUAC
This 72-nucleotide transfer RNA is filed under the name Toxocara canis (dog roundworm). It matches the Rfam family "tRNA". From Rfam's summary of the family: Transfer RNA (tRNA) molecules are approximately 80 nucleotides in length. Their secondary structure includes four short double-helical elements and three loops (D, anti-codon, and T loops). Lineage: Eukaryota; Metazoa; Nematoda; Chromadorea; Rhabditida; Toxocaridae. The record is from Rfam by way of RNAcentral.